ACCGGAGAGACUAACAGGAUUCCCCUAGUAACUGCGAGUGAAGCGGGAAAAGCUCAAAUUUAAAAUCUGGCGGUCCUUGGCCGUCCGAGUUGUAGUCUGGAGAAGUGCUUUCUGCGCUGGACCGUGUAUAAGUCUCUUGGAACAGAGCGUCAUAGAGGGUGAGAAUCCCGUCUUUGACACGGACUACCAGUGCUUUGUGAUGCGCUCUCAAAGAGUCGAGUUGUUUGGGAAUGCAGCUCAAAAUGGGUGGUGAAUUCCAUCUAAAGCUAAAUAUUGGCGAGAGACCGAUAGCGAACAAGUACCGUGAGGGAAAGAUGAAAAGCACUUUGGAAAGAGAGUUAAACAGUACGUGAAAUUGCUGAAAGGGAAACGCUUGAAGUCAGUCGCGUUGUCCGGGACUCAGCCUUGCUUUCGCUUGGUGCACUUUCCGGAUGACGGGUCAGCAUCGAUUUUGACCGUCGGAAAAGGGCUGGAGUAAUGUGGCACCUCCGGGUGUGUUAUAGACUUCAGUCGCAUACGGCGGUCGGGAUCGAGGAACGCAGCGCGCCGCAAGGCAACACGCUUAGGAUGCUGGCAUAAUGGCUUUAAACGACCCGUCUUGAAACACGGACCAAGGAGUCUAACAUACCUGCGAGUGUUUGGGUGGAAAACCCGAGCGCGUAAUGAAAGUGAAAGUUGAGACCUCUGUCGUGGAGGGCAUCGACGCCCGGACCUGACGUUCUCUGACGGAUCCGCGGUAGAGCAUGUAUGUUGGGACCCGAAAGAUGGUGAACUAUGCCUGAAUAGGGUGAAGCCAGAGGAAACUCUGGUGGAGGCUCGUAGCGAUUCUGACGUGCAAAUCGAUCGUCAAAUUUGGGUAUAGGGGCGAAAGACUAAUCGAACCAUCUAGUAGCUGGGUCCUGCGU
Molecule: ribosomal RNA, 905 nt
Filed under: Foraminispora concentrica
Lineage: Eukaryota; Fungi; Basidiomycota; Agaricomycetes; Polyporales; Polyporaceae
Description: eukaryotic LSU rRNA
Rfam family: Eukaryotic large subunit ribosomal RNA
Source: RNAcentral